AUUGAACGCUGGCGGCAUGCUUUACACAUGCAAGUCGAACGGUAACAGGCCUUCGGGUGCUGACGAGUGGCGAACGGGUGAGUAAUGCAUCGGAACGUGCCCAGAGGUGGGGGAUAACGCAGCGAAAGCUGUGCUAAUACCGCAUGUGAUCUGAGGAUGAAAGCGGGGGACCAGGCAGCAAUGUUUGGCCUCGCGCCUUUGGAGCGGCCGAUGUCAGAUUAGGUAGUUGGUGGGGUAAAGGCCUACCAAGCCGACGAUCUGUAGCUGGUCUGAGAGGACGACCAGCGACACUGGGACUGAGACACGGCCCAGACUCCGACGGGAGGCAGCAGUGGGGAAUUGUGGACAAUGGGCGCAAGCCUGAUCCAGCAAUGCCGCGUGCGGGAAGAAGGCCUUCGGGUUGUAAACCGCUUUUGUACGGAACGAAAAGGCUCUGGCUAAUACCUGGGGCUGAUGACGGUACCGUAAGAAUAAGCACCGGCUAACUACGUG
Molecule: ribosomal RNA, 492 nt
Filed under: uncultured bacterium
Lineage: Bacteria
Description: partial 16S ribosomal RNA
Rfam family: Bacterial small subunit ribosomal RNA
Source: RNAcentral